This 468-nucleotide ribosomal RNA is filed under the name uncultured bacterium. RNAcentral describes it as "partial 16S ribosomal RNA". It matches the Rfam family "Bacterial small subunit ribosomal RNA", at positions 28 to 507 of the family's 1533-position model. The record is from RNAcentral.
GACGAACGCUGGCGGCGUGCUUAACACAUGCAAGUCGAACGGAAAGGCCCUGCUUUUGUGGGGUGCUCGAGUGGCGAACGGGUGAGUAACACGUGAGUAACCUGCCCUUGACUUUGGGAUAACUUCAGGAAACUGGGGCUAAUACCGGAUAGGAGCUCCUGCUGCAUGGUGGGGGUUGGAAAGUUUCGGCGGUUGGGGAUGGACUCGCGGCUUAUCAGCUUGUUGGUGGGGUAGUGGCUUACCAAGGGUUUGACGGGUAGCCGGCCUGAGAGGGUGACCGGCCACAUUGGGACUGAGAUACGGCCCAGACGCCUACGGGAGGCAGCAGUGGGGAGUAUUGCACAAUGGGCGGAAGCCUGAUGCAGCAACGCCGCGUGCGGGAUGACGGCCUUCGGGUUGUAAACCGCUUUCGCCUGUGACGAAGCGUGAGUGACGGUAAUGGGUAAAGAAGCACCGGCUAACUACGUG